RNAcentral lists this ribosomal RNA (301 nucleotides) under uncultured bacterium. RNAcentral's name for it is "partial 16S ribosomal RNA". It matches the Rfam family "Bacterial small subunit ribosomal RNA", at positions 509 to 807 of the family's 1533-position model. The record is from RNAcentral.
CAGCCGCCGCGGGAAUACGAAGGGGGCUAGCGUUGUUCGGAUUUACUGGGCGUGAAGCGCACGUAGGCGGAUCGUUAAGUCGGGGGUGAAAUCCUGGAGCUCAACUCCAGAACUGCCUUCGAUACUGGCGAUCUUGAGUCCGGAAGAGGUGAGUGGAACUCCUAGUGUAGAGGUGGAAUUCGUAGAUAUUAGGAAGAACACCAGUGGCGAAGGCGGCUCACUGGCCCGGUACUGACGCUGAGGUGCGAAAGCGUGGGGAGCAAACAGGAUUAGAUACCCCCGUAGUCCCUGUCUCUUAUAC